UACGGGGGGAGCAAGCGUUGUUCGGAUUUACUGGGCGUAAAGGGCGCGUAGGCGGUCCUUCAAGUCAGGCGUGAAAGCCCCGGGCUCAACCUGGGAACCGCGCUUGAGACUGGCGGGCUAGAGUUCGGGAGAGGAUGGUGGAAUUCCCAGUGUAGAGGUGAAAUUCGUAGAUAUUGGGAAGAACACCGAUGGCGAAGGCAGCCAUCUGGACCGACACUGACGCUGAGGCGCGAAAGCGUGGGGAGCAAACAGG
Molecule: ribosomal RNA, 253 nt
Filed under: uncultured bacterium
Lineage: Bacteria
Description: partial 16S ribosomal RNA
Rfam family: Bacterial small subunit ribosomal RNA
Source: RNAcentral